RNAcentral lists this ribosomal RNA (992 nucleotides) under uncultured bacterium. RNAcentral's name for it is "bacterial SSU rRNA". It matches the Rfam family "Bacterial small subunit ribosomal RNA", at positions 8 to 1009 of the family's 1533-position model. The record is from RNAcentral.
AGAGUUUGAUCAUGGCUCAGAACGAACGCUGGCGGCGUGCUUAACACAUGCAAGUCGAGUGCGCGUGCCGUAGCAAUACGGUAUGGCGCACGGCGCACGGGUGCGUAACACGUGGGCAAUCUGCCCCCCGAUGGGGGAUAACUCCGGGAAACCGAAGCUAAUUCCGCAUAACAUUCCCUGGACUCCGGUUCGGGGAUUCAAAGCAGCAAUGCGUCGGAGGAGGAGCCCGCGCCCGAUUAGCUAGUUGGUGAGGUAACGGCUCACCAAGGCUAUGAUCGGUAGCUGGUCUGAGAGGAUGGCCAGCCACACUGGAACUGAGACACGGUCCAGACUCCUACGGGAGGCAGCAGUGGGGAAUCUUGCGCAAUGGGCGAAAGCCUGACGCAGCGACGCCGCGUGGGGGAUGAAGCUUCUCGGAGUGUAAACCCCUUUCGACCGGGACGAAUGCCCGCAAGGGAGUGACGGUACCGGUAGAAGAAGCCCCGGCUAACUACGUGCCAGCAGCCGCGGUAAGACGUAGGGGGCCAGCGUUGUUCGGAAUUACUGGGUGUAAAGGGUUCGUAGGCGGUGUGGCAAGUCGGGAGUGAAAUUUCUGGGCUUAACUCAGAACCUGCUUCCGAAACUGCUGUGCUGGAGUGUGGGAGAGGCGCGUGGAAUUGCAGGUGUAGCGGUGAAAUGCGUAGAUAUCUGCAGGAACACCCGUGGCGAAAGCGGCGCGCUGGACCACUACUGACGCUGAGGAACGAAAGCUAGGGGAGCAAGCAGGAUUAGAUACCCUGGUAGUCCUAGCCCUAAACGAUCAGGACUUGGGGUGCCACCCGUUCGGGUGUCGUCCCGGAGCUAACGCGUUAAGUCCUGCACCUGGGGAGUACGGUCGCAAGACUGAACUCAAAGGAAUUGACGGGGGCCCGCACAAGCGUGGACAUGUGUCAUCGACGCUACGCGAGGACCUUACCUGGGCUCGAAUGCUUCUGACCAGCUGUAGAAAAUAC